UGGACAGCCUUGGAGAUUGGAGUUCUCUGUUUAUCCACAGACCAGGUACCACAGGGACAGUGCAAGCUUCCCUAAGCCAUCCAGUGUGCUUCUACAUUCACCUGGAGGGACCUACCCCUGGGAGUAAGAACAUACUUUACUCUCCAUGUCCACUCAGUUUUUAGGAUCU
This 169-nucleotide small RNA is filed under the name Chrysemys picta bellii (western painted turtle). RNAcentral describes it as "TUC338 (ENSCPBG00000016166.1)". Lineage: Eukaryota; Metazoa; Chordata; Testudines; Emydidae. The record is from RNAcentral.